RNAcentral lists this ribosomal RNA (450 nucleotides) under Moraxella canis. RNAcentral's name for it is "bacterial SSU rRNA". It matches the Rfam family "Bacterial small subunit ribosomal RNA", at positions 41 to 491 of the family's 1533-position model. Lineage: Bacteria; Pseudomonadati; Pseudomonadota; Gammaproteobacteria; Moraxellales; Moraxellaceae. The record is from RNAcentral.
GGCAGGCUUAACACAUGCAAGUCGAACGAGGUUAGAAAGCUUGCUUUUGAUACCUAGUGGCGGACGGGUGAGUAAUGCUUAGGAAUCUGCCUAGUAGUGGGGGAUAACUUGGGGAAACUCAAGCUAAUACCGCAUACGACCUACGGGUGAAAGGGGGCGCAAGCUCUCGCUAUUAGAUGAGCCUAAGUCGGAUUAGCUAGUUGGUGGGGUAAAGGCCUACCAAGGCGACGAUCUGUAGCUGGUCUGAGAGGAUGAUCAGCCACACUGGGACUGAGACACGGCCCAGACUCCUACGGGAGGCAGCAGUGGGGAAUAUUGGACAAUGGGCGAAAGCCUGAUCCAGCCAUGCCGCGUGUGUGAAGAAGGCCUUUUGGUUGUAAAGCACUUUAAGUGGGGAGGAAAAGUUAAUGGUUAAUACCCAUUAGCCCUGACGUUACCCACAGAAUAAGC